CGUAGGUGGCAAGCGUUGUCCGGAAUUAUUGGGCGUAAAGGGCGCGUAGGCGGUCCCUUAAGUCAGAUGUGAAAACUCCCGGAGGUACUUUAACCGUCGGGCGUGCUAUUUAGAACGGUGGGGACUAGAGUGCAGGAGAGGUAAGUGGAAUUCCUAGUGUAGCGGUGAAAUGCGUAGAUAUUAGGAGGAACACCAGUGGCGAAGGCGACUUACUGGACUGUAACUGACGCUGAGGCGCGAAAGCGUGGGGAGCAAACAGGAUUAGAUACCCUGGUAGUCCACGCUGUAAACGAUGGAUACUGGGUGUGGGAGGUAUCGACCCCUUCCGUGCCGCAGUAAACGCAAUAAGUAUCCCGCCUGGGGAGUACGGCCGCAAGGUUG
This 381-nucleotide ribosomal RNA is filed under the name uncultured organism. RNAcentral's name for it is "bacterial SSU rRNA". It matches the Rfam family "Bacterial small subunit ribosomal RNA", at positions 526 to 896 of the family's 1533-position model. The record is from RNAcentral.